Molecule: ribosomal RNA, 499 nt
Filed under: uncultured bacterium
Lineage: Bacteria
Description: bacterial SSU rRNA
Rfam family: Bacterial small subunit ribosomal RNA
Source: RNAcentral
AGUUUGAUCCUGGCUCAGGAUGAACGCUGGCGGCGUGCCUAACACAUGCAAGUCGAACGAAGCACUUAUCUUUGAUUCUUCGGAUGAAGAGAUAUUUGACUGAGUGGCGGACGGGUGAGUAACGCGUGGGUAACCUGCCUCAUACAGGGGGAUAACAGUUAGAAAUGACUGCUAAUACCGCAUAAGCGCACGGAAUCGCAUGAUUCAGUGUGAAAAGCCGAGACGGUAUGAGAUGGACCCGCGUCUGAUUAGGUAGUUGGUGAGGUAACGGCCCACCAAGCCGACGAUCAGUAGCCGACCUGAGAGGGUGACCGGCCACAUUGGGACUGAGACACGGCCCAAACUCCUACGGGAGGCAGCAGUGGGGAAUAUUGCACAAUGGGGGAAACCCUGAUGCAGCGACGCCGCGUGAAGGAAGAAGUAUUUCGGUAUGUAAACUUCUAUCAGCAGGGAAGAAAAUGACGGUACCUGACUAAGAAGCCCCGGCUAACUACGUGCC